RNAcentral lists this non-coding RNA (29 nucleotides) under Rattus norvegicus (Norway rat). Lineage: Eukaryota; Metazoa; Chordata; Mammalia; Rodentia; Muridae. The record is from RNAcentral.
UCUGAGUUCAGAACAUCUCUAGAUGUGCA